AUGGCAUCUUACACAGUGGUCAUUGUCCCUCUCAGGAACAGUCCUAACAGUCUGGAUGCAUUGCAGUUCUUCCUCUGGGUGAAGAAGAUGAAGGACUUGGAGAGGGAAAAGGACUUUUUGUGGAUUGGAUUGCAGGCUUUAGAGCAGGUGCGAGAGAAGUUAUGCUACAACCUAGAAGACAACAUGGAAGUGCAAGACCAAUUCAAGAAAGGAGAGAUGAGAAAAGUGUUUCUAGACACCCCCACCCUACUGUUGGCUCAGAUCCACAGAGUGAACAGGACCUUAAGGAAUCUACUUUGUGACUCCAGGAAUCCAAUAGAAGGUACUGAAGGACACCAGCCCUCUCCUACCUGUUCAGAAGAAAGUGCUAGUUUUUAAACAGCUAUUUGUUUUGAAAUUCUGUAUUGCAUUUUCCUGUAUUUUGUGCUUGUAGAAUGUAUUCUGAGUGGAUUGAAAUAAUAAGUUUCUGUGCAAUAAAUGAAAAAUUGCCUAAUUGAUAAGAUUUCCA
Molecule: long non-coding RNA, 508 nt
Organism: Cyprinus carpio (common carp)
Lineage: Eukaryota; Metazoa; Chordata; Actinopteri; Cypriniformes; Cyprinidae
Source: Ensembl